This 119-nucleotide non-coding RNA is filed under the name Providencia stuartii. Its description in RNAcentral is "TPP riboswitch aptamer (THI element)". It matches the Rfam family "TPP riboswitch aptamer (THI element)". From Rfam's summary of the family: Vitamin B(1) in its active form thiamin pyrophosphate (TPP) is an essential coenzyme that is synthesised by coupling of pyrimidine and thiazole moieties in bacteria. RNAcentral also lists the same sequence under 1 other name. Lineage: Bacteria; Pseudomonadati; Pseudomonadota; Gammaproteobacteria; Enterobacterales; Morganellaceae. The record is from Rfam by way of RNAcentral.
ACUGUCUCAACGGGGUGCCGAAAUUAUUAUGCUCAGAGUAUGACGAGUAUAGGCUGAGAACUCACCCGUAGAACCUGAUCCGGGCAAUACCGGCGUAGGGAUUUGAGCUAUCAUCCAUG